CUACUAAUUCUAUCAUCCAUGUAAUUGCUACAUCAGUUUCAAGUGAAUGAUUUUUCUUCUAAUCAUGGAUUGUAUUUUCUCACUUCUUUGCAUGGCUAGUAACUUUUAAAUGAAUGCUAAAUGUGAAUGUUACCUUAUUAGUUGCUAGAUAUUCUUGUAUGCCUGUUAGUACUUAGCACUACUCCUUCCCUUCUAAGCUUUUCCUCUUUUCACAUGCUAGAAGACUCUCUUGUCAGCAAAGUCCCACUGUAAGUUCUGACAAUUAGGCAUUUGCAUAAAAUUAGAAGAGAAAAAGAAACUAUAAUUUAAUAUUCUUCUUCAGAUUCCAGCAGUAAUCUAGUGUGCACUCUUAUUGAAUAAAUGGCAUUGAAGGAAAAGAGAAUUAUGAUCCGAAUAUAGCCAGAAAACAAUGUGUGCCUCUUUGCAGCUGUGUGGCAACAAGAGGCAUAUUAAAACAGGCUCCUGUGGACACAAAAAUAGCCUCAUUUCAGUUCCUAAUCUUUCAGUAAUACCAUCUUCCUCCCAUUUGUUCCUCUAGUAAUUACAAAUUUCCACC
Molecule: long non-coding RNA, 556 nt
Filed under: Homo sapiens (human)
Lineage: Eukaryota; Metazoa; Chordata; Mammalia; Primates; Hominidae
Description: HSALNT0392406
Source: RNAcentral